This 301-nucleotide ribosomal RNA is filed under the name uncultured bacterium. RNAcentral's name for it is "partial 16S ribosomal RNA". It matches the Rfam family "Bacterial small subunit ribosomal RNA", at positions 509 to 807 of the family's 1533-position model. The record is from RNAcentral.
CAGCAGCCGCGGUAAUACGGAGGGGGCUAGCGUUGUUCGGAAUUACUGGGCGUAAAGCGCACGUAGGCGGCUUGGUAAGUUAGAGGUGAAAGCCUGGGGCUCAACCCCAGAAUUGCCUUUAAGACUGCCGAGCUAGUAGGUGAGAGAGGUAAGUGGAAUUCCGAGUGUAGAGGUGAAAUUCGUAGAUAUUCGGAAGAACACCAGUGGCGAAGGCGGCUUACUGGCUCAUUCUAGACGCUGAGGUGCGAAAGCGUGGGGAGCAAACAGGAUUAGAUACCCCGGUAGUCCCUGUCUCUUAUAC